This 492-nucleotide ribosomal RNA is filed under the name uncultured bacterium. RNAcentral's name for it is "partial 16S ribosomal RNA". It matches the Rfam family "Bacterial small subunit ribosomal RNA", at positions 30 to 507 of the family's 1533-position model. The record is from RNAcentral.
AUUGAACGCUGGCGGCAUGCUUUACACAUGCAAGUCGAACGGUAACAGGCCUUCGGGUGCUGACGAGUGGCGAACGGGUGAGUAAUGCAUCGGAACGUGCCCAGAGGUGGGGGAUAACGCAGCGAAAGCUGUGCUAAUACCGCAUGUGAUCUGAGGAUGAAAGCGGGGGACCAGGCAGCAAUGUUUGGCCUCGCGCCUUUGGAGCGGCCGAUGUCAGAUUAGGUAGUUGGUGGGGUAAAGGCCUACCAAGCCGACGAUCUGUAGCUGGUCUGAGAGGACGACCAGCCACACUGGGACUGAGACACGGCCCAGACUCCUACGGGAGGCAGCAGUGGGGAAUUUUGGACAAUGGGCGCAAGCCUGAUCCAGCAAUGCCGCGUGUGGGAAGAAGGCCUUCGGGUUGUAAACCGCUUUUGUACGGAACGAAAAGGCUCUGGCUAAUACCUGGGGCUGAUGACGGUACCGUAAGAAUAAGCACCGGCUAACUACGUG